AGAGUUUGAUCCUGGCUCAGGAUGAACGCUGGCGGCGUGCCUAACACAUGCAAGUCGAGCGAAGCACUUUACUUUGAGAUCUUCGGAAGGAUAAGUUUUGUGACUGAGCGGCGGACGGGUGAGUAACGCGUGGGUAACCUGCCCCAUACAGGGGGAUAACAGUUAGAAAUGACUGCUAAUACCGCAUAAGACCACAGCACCGCAUGGUGCAGGGGUAAAAACUCCGG
RNAcentral lists this ribosomal RNA (227 nucleotides) under uncultured bacterium. Its description in RNAcentral is "partial 16S ribosomal RNA". It matches the Rfam family "Bacterial small subunit ribosomal RNA", at positions 8 to 214 of the family's 1533-position model. The record is from RNAcentral.